Molecule: ribosomal RNA, 424 nt
Filed under: uncultured bacterium
Lineage: Bacteria
Description: bacterial SSU rRNA
Rfam family: Bacterial small subunit ribosomal RNA
Source: RNAcentral
UAAGGAAUAUUGGUCAAUGGGCGCAAGCCUGAACCAGCCAUGCCGCGUGCAGGAUGAAUGCCCUAUGGGUUGUAAACUGCUUUUGUACGGGAAAAAACCUUCGAACGUGUUCGGAGCUGAUGGUACCGUAAGAAUAAGGAUCGGCUAACUCCGUGCCAGCAGCCGCGGUAAUACGGAGGAUCCAAGCGUUAUCCGGAUUUAUUGGGUUUAAAGGGUGCGUAGGCGGAAUAAUAAGUCAGUGGUGAAAGCCUACAGCUUAACUGUAGAACUGCCAUUGAUACUGUUAAUCUUGAGUAUAUUUGAAGUGGGCGGAAUGUGUCAUGUAGCGGUGAAAUGCUUAGAUAUGACACAGAACUCCGAUAGCGAAGGCAGCUCACUAAACUAUAACUGACGCUGAGGCACGAAAGCGUGGGGAUCAAACAGG